UGCCAGCCGCCGCGGUAAGACGAACCGUCCAAACGUUAUUCGGAAUCACUGGGCUUAAAGCGCACGUAGGCGGUUUGGUAAGUUGGAUGUGAAAGCCCGGGGCUCAACCCCGGAAGUGCACCCAAAACUGCCAGACUAGAAUCUCGGAGGGGGUCGGAGAAUUCCCGGUGUAGAGGUGAAAUUCGUAGAUAUCGGGAGGAAUACCAGUGGCGAAGGCGCCGACCUGGACGAUGAUUGACGCUGAGGUGCGAAAGCAUGGGGAGCGAACAGGAUUAGAUA
This 279-nucleotide ribosomal RNA is filed under the name uncultured bacterium. RNAcentral describes it as "partial 16S ribosomal RNA". It matches the Rfam family "Bacterial small subunit ribosomal RNA", at positions 506 to 784 of the family's 1533-position model. The record is from RNAcentral.